UUAUCUUGUGCUAAACAUGAAAUAGAAAUCAAAUUUUUAUUAGAUGCAGGUACAUAAUAAGAGUCCCUAAGAAUUAAACUAAAUUCCGACGGCAAUCGUAAAGGAUAUAUCCCCACAGCCAUAGCAGCAACUCUUGCUCUAUUUUCAAUUCGUAGGAUCAUCUCAUCAUCGUUCAACUUUCUACUAUCCUUAAGAUCCUAC
Molecule: long non-coding RNA, 201 nt
Filed under: Elaeis guineensis (African oil palm)
Lineage: Eukaryota; Viridiplantae; Streptophyta; Magnoliopsida; Arecales; Arecaceae
Description: long non-coding RNA (EGUI_LNC021769)
Source: RNAcentral